This 253-nucleotide ribosomal RNA is filed under the name uncultured bacterium. Its description in RNAcentral is "partial 16S ribosomal RNA". It matches the Rfam family "Bacterial small subunit ribosomal RNA", at positions 524 to 776 of the family's 1533-position model. The record is from RNAcentral.
UACGUAGGUGACAAGCGUUGUCCGGAUUUACUGGGCGUAAAGAGCGCGCAGGCGGUCGUUCAAGUCGAGUGUGAAAGCCCCCGGCUCAACUGGGGAGGGUCACUCGAUACUGAUCGACUCGAAGGCAGGAGAGGGUAGUGGAAUUCCCGGUGUAGUGGUGAAAUGCGUAGAUAUCGGGAGGAACACCAGUGGCGAAGGCGACUACCUGGCCCGUUCUUGACGCUGAGGCGCGAAAGCUAGGGGAGCAAACGGG